CAAAGCUUCUGGCCAGCCCCAGGUGGCAGUGGCACCUCGCAGUGGGGCUGGAGACUCCAAAGGCUGCUUUUGUGGGGCAGGGGCUGGGCGGCUGCUGAGCCUAACGGGUGACAGCUGCAGGAGGGCCUUGUGAGACUUUGAGCUGCAUUCCCUGGAAAAUCCCUCCAGAAAUGGAGAUGGAAUAGACAGUUUUCUGGCAGCUCCCUGCUGUGAGCGUGGAAGGUGCUGGGGCAGAAGCAGCGCCCGCAGUGGGGGCACAGGGGACACCCCACAGCCCCUCUGUCCCCGCAGCCCCAAAGCGUGCAGGUGGCACAGGAAGGAGCCGGGGCUCGCCCGCCCGCCCGCAGCGAACCCCACGGCGCCGAGGGGCUGAGCGAGAGCCUCCGACUUCCUCCUGGCCCAGGCGAGCGCAGCAGCCGCAGGCGAUGUGUCCCGGCCGGCGCUGCUGGGGCCUCGGCUCCCUCCUGCUGCUGCUGCUGCUGCUCGGGCGAAACCUGGGCUUCCUCCUGGAAAUCCCGCAGGAUGCAGUCACUGGCACCGUGGGGCAGUCCGUGCUCCUGCCCGUCUCCUACAGAUGCAACAGCACCUCUUGUUUCCCGGUGGCAAUUCAGUGGCUGUUUAGUCACCCCUUAGAAAUAAUCAUUGCCUGCUCAGUGCAGAACUGCUCCCUGGGUGAUGGGGGGGCUCCCAAGAAUUGCUCCACAAACUGUUACUCCUAUCGUACACACUGGGGCCGUGUUGAGCUCUUCCCCGAGAACGCAUCCCUGCUGCUGCGGGACCUGCGGCUCAGUGACAGCGGGGUGUACACCGUCAGCUUCUUACGGAAAAGACAAAUCAGGAAGAUCACCCUGACCGUGCUCGAGCAGCCUGUCCCCACAGAUCCUACCAGCAAAGGUAAGUGUCCCUGUGCUGCCCUGGCAGCAUUCCUGCCCCUCCUGAUGGGGACAGCACGGGACCCCUGUGGAGGUGUCCUGGGGAGGUGGCAGCCUCCCGAUGCCACAUCUCCUCUCUCCUACCGCAGGCACUUCUCAAACAGCAGGAAGAAUAGCCACACGUAUCCCUUGCUGCAUCCUCGGAGGCUGCUACUGCUUCAUCCUGCUGCUCCUGCAGCUGCUCUUCCACCUGUGCUGGCUGCGGGGCAGCCCUGGGGAAGCCUGCGGCUGCUGCUGGGGAGAAGGGAGCCAGCGUGCGGGAGCAGCCAGGGCCGGGGCACAAUGAAGUGCCCAGAGUGGGGGCACAGGGGACACCCCACAGCCCCCUCUGUCCCCGCAGCCCCAAAGCGUGCAGGUGGCACAGGAAGGAGCCGGGGCUCGCCCGCCCGCCCGCAGCGAACCCCACGGCGCCGAGGGGCUGAGCGAGAGCCUCCGACUUCCUCCUGGCCCAGGCGAGCGCAGCAGCCGCAGGCGAUGUGUCCCGGCCGGCGCUGCUGGGGCCUCGGCUCCCUCCUGCUGCUGCUGCUGCUGCUCGGUGAGCUGGGGACGGGGCCACUGCGGCUGGAGAAGCCAGCG
RNAcentral lists this long non-coding RNA (1508 nucleotides) under Anas zonorhyncha (Eastern spot-billed duck). RNAcentral's name for it is "lncRNA (ENSAZOG00000013069.1)". Lineage: Eukaryota; Metazoa; Chordata; Aves; Anseriformes; Anatidae. The record is from RNAcentral.